This 76-nucleotide transfer RNA is filed under the name Lachnospiraceae bacterium. Its description in RNAcentral is "tRNA-Ile". It matches the Rfam family "tRNA". From Rfam's summary of the family: Transfer RNA (tRNA) molecules are approximately 80 nucleotides in length. Lineage: Bacteria; Bacillati; Bacillota; Clostridia; Lachnospirales; Lachnospiraceae. The record is from RNAcentral.
GGAACAGUCGCACAGUGGUCAGUGUCUGCGCCUCAUAAGCGCAUGGACGUGGGUUCGAAUCCCACCUGUUCCACCA